UCCCUGGUGAUCCAGUGGUUGGGACUCUGCACUUCCAAUGCAAAAGGUGUAGGUUCAAUCCCUGGUCAGGGAA
This 73-nucleotide transfer RNA is filed under the name Bos taurus (domestic cattle). It matches the Rfam family "tRNA". From Rfam's summary of the family: Transfer RNA (tRNA) molecules are approximately 80 nucleotides in length. Their secondary structure includes four short double-helical elements and three loops (D, anti-codon, and T loops). Further hydrogen bonds mediate the characteristic L-shaped molecular structure. tRNAs have two regions of fundamental functional importance: the anti-codon, which is responsible for specific mRNA codon recognition, and the 3' end, to which the tRNAs corresponding amino acid is attached (by aminoacyl-tRNA synthetases). tRNAs cope with the degeneracy of the genetic code in two manners: having more than one tRNA (with a specific anti-codon) for a particular amino acid; and 'wobble' base-pairing, i.e. permitting non-standard base-pairing at the 3rd anti-codon position. Lineage: Eukaryota; Metazoa; Chordata; Mammalia; Artiodactyla; Bovidae. RNAcentral also lists the same sequence under 1 other name. The record is from Rfam by way of RNAcentral.